GAUGAACGCUGGCGGCGUGCCUAAUACAUGCAAGUCGAGCGAACAGACGAGGAGCUUGCUCCUCUGACGUUAGCGGCGGACGGGUGAGUAACACGUGGAUAACCUACCUAUAAGACUGGGAUAACUUCGGGAAACCGGAGCUAAUACCGGACAACAUGUUGAACCGCAUGGUUCAACAGUGAAAGACGGUUUUGCUGUCACUUAUAGAUGGAUCCGCGUCGCAUUAGCUAGUUGGUAAGGUAACGGCUUACCAAGGCAACGAUGCGUAGCCGACCUGAGAGGGUGAUCGGCCACACUGGAACUGAGACACGGUCCAGACUCCUACGGGAGGCAGCAGUAGGGAAUCUUCCGCAAUGGGCGAAAGCCUGACGGAGCAACGCCGCGUGAGUGAAGAAGGUCUUCGGAUCGUAAAACUCUGUUAUUAGGGAAGAACAAAUGUGUAAGUAACUAUGCACGUCUUGACGGUACCUAAUCAGAAAGCCACGGCUAACUACGUG
Molecule: ribosomal RNA, 497 nt
Filed under: uncultured bacterium
Lineage: Bacteria
Description: partial 16S ribosomal RNA
Rfam family: Bacterial small subunit ribosomal RNA
Source: RNAcentral